Molecule: ribosomal RNA, 396 nt
Filed under: uncultured bacterium
Lineage: Bacteria
Description: partial 16S ribosomal RNA
Rfam family: Bacterial small subunit ribosomal RNA
Source: RNAcentral
AUACGUAGGUGGCGAGCGUUGUCCGGAUUUACUGGGUGUAAAGGGCGAGUAGGCGGGCUUGCAAGUCAGAUGUGAAAUACCGAGGCUCAACUUCGGGGCUGCAUUUGAAACUGCGAGUCUUGAGUGAUGGAGAGGCAGGCGGAAUUCCCAGUGUAGCGGUAAAAUGCAUAGAUAUUGGGAAGAACACCAGUGGCGAAGGCGGCCUGCUGGACAUUAACUGACGCUGAGGAGCGAAAGUGUGGGGAGCAAACAGGAUUAGAUACCCUGGUAGUCCACACCGUAAACGAUGGAUACUAGGUGUGCGGGGACUGACCCCCUGCGUGCCGCAGUUAACACAAUAAGUAUCCCACCUGGGGAGUACGAUCGCAAGAUUGAAACUCAAAUGAAUUGACGGGG